Molecule: ribosomal RNA, 515 nt
Filed under: Phoma sp. CJL-2014
Lineage: Eukaryota; Fungi; Ascomycota; Dothideomycetes; Pleosporales; Didymellaceae
Description: eukaryotic LSU rRNA
Rfam family: 5.8S ribosomal RNA (bases 157-310)
Source: RNAcentral
CAGAUUGGGAUGGUUGAGUAUCUCGCCUCUCCGUUCUGCCUGUAUUCUACCCUUGUUUGUCAUAUACUAUUAUUUCCUCGGCAGGCUUGCCUGCCGAGUGAAACCAUUUAUAACCUUUUUAAUUUUCAAUCAGCGUCUGAAAAAAUUAAUAAUUACAACUUUCAACAACGGAUCUCUUGGUUCUGGCAUCGAUGAAGAACGCAGCGAAAUGCGAUAAGUAGUGUGAAUUGCAGAAUUCAGUGAAUCAUCGAAUCUUUGAACGCACAUUGCGCCCCUUGGUAUUCCAUGGGGCAUGCCUGUUCGAGCGUCAUUUGUACCUUCAAGCUUUGCUUGGUGUUGGGUGUUUGUCCCGAGGGACUCGCCUUAAAGUAAUUGGCAGCCAGUGUUUGGUUUUGAAGCGCAGCACAAGUCGCGAUUCAAGGCUACACGCCCGCUUCCACAAGCCUUUUUCACUUUUGACCUCGGAUCAGGUAGGGAUACCCGCUGAACUUAAGCAUAUCAAUAAGUCGGAGGAA